RNAcentral lists this ribosomal RNA (497 nucleotides) under uncultured bacterium. RNAcentral describes it as "partial 16S ribosomal RNA". It matches the Rfam family "Bacterial small subunit ribosomal RNA", at positions 28 to 507 of the family's 1533-position model. The record is from RNAcentral.
GAUGAACGCUGGCGGCGUGCCUAAUACAUGCAAGUCGAGCGAACAGAUGAGGAGCUUGCUCCUCUGACGUUAGCGGCGGACGGGUGAGUAACACGUGGAUAACCUACCUAUAAGACUGGGAUAACUACGGGAAACCGGAGCUAAUACCGGAUAAUAUAUUGAACCGCAUGGUUCAAUAGUGAAAGACGGUUUUGCUGUCACUUAUAGAUGGAUCCGCGCCGCAUUAGCUAGUUGGUAAGGUAACGGCUUACCAAGGCAACGAUGCGUAGCCGACCUGAGAGGGUGAUCGGCCACACUGGAACUGAGACACGGUCCAGACUCCUACGGGAGGCAGCAGUAGGGAAUCUUCCGCAAUGGGCGAAAGCCUGACGGAGCAACGCCGCGUGAGUGAUGAAGGUCUUCGGAUCGUAAAACUCUGUUAUUAGGGAAGAACAAAUGUGUAAGUAACUAUGCACGUCUUGACGGUACCUAAUCAGGAAGCCACGGCUAACUACGUG